RNAcentral lists this long non-coding RNA (1342 nucleotides) under Equus caballus (horse). RNAcentral's name for it is "lncRNA (ENSECAG00000059999.1)". Lineage: Eukaryota; Metazoa; Chordata; Mammalia; Perissodactyla; Equidae. The record is from RNAcentral.
AGAUUCUUACUGAACUUAUGCAAAUAACUGUGUUGCCAUGAAAAUACUUAUUCACUAAGAGUUUCCAAAUUCUGGAGGGAUAAGAAUCCUGUAAUCAGCACCAUGUGAAUGAGCCAGGGCUGGCCUGCUGGAGGACGGACAUCACACGCCCAGCUAAUACCACUGACCAUCCUGACAGCCAGCCAUCUACCAAACACGUGAGGCCAAAAAUUGCCAGCUAACCACAAAGUCAAUGAACCCAAGUGAUACCACACGGAGCAGAGAUGAACCAUCUCGGCUGCUCCCAGCCUGAAUGUCAUAAUUUAGGGCAAGUCACAUAAUUAUGAGAAAAUCAAUGGAUGUUGUUUAUGCCACUAAGUUUUCGGGUGAUUCCCUUUUUUUUUCAAGUGUUUUUUUUUUUUUUUUUCCUGAGGAAGAUUCGCUCUGAGCUAACACCUGUGGCCAAUCUUCCUCUUUUUGGUUGAGGAAUAUUCACCCUGAGCUAACAUCUUGCCAGUCUUCCUCUAUUUCAUAUGUGGGUCACCGGCACAGAAUGGCUGCUGACAAGUGGUGCAGUUCUGAGUCCAGGAACUGAACCUGGGCCGCCAAAGCAGAGGGUGCCAAACUUAACCAGUAGGCCACGGGGCUGGCCUCUAGGGUGACUUCUUACACUGCACAAACUGGCGGCUGCAUGGGUCUAGCACUGAGCCUGUUGUCUUCUGUGCUAGACGAGCUCUCUGCUCCUAGACUCCAGUCGCCAGGUGGCGGAGAGGAGAGCCGAGCCACUUGCUGAGAGGAGGCAGGAACUGUGGCUUUGUCUCCUGGGGUUGUGAGACUAUAAAUGGGAUGUAAGUGCUGUCACAGUUAACUUGCUAAAACUGAUCUUGACAGUUACACUUAAAACUCUUCAACACUCAUCAAACUGGCAAAGAUGAAAACAAUCCGCCUUCAGCACUGGCGAGGGGGGAGCAGAGGCUCCCUGACACUCUUCACUCUGAUGCUGGCAGAGCCUUUCUGAAGGGCAAUUUACAACACGUGCCAAGACCUUAAAUACCUUUUUUUUUUUUUGAAGGAGAUUAGCCCUGAGCUAACAUCUGCUGCCAAUCCUCCUCUUUUUGCUGAGGAAGGCUGGCCCUGAGCUAACAUCCAUGCCCAUCUUCCUCUACUUUAUACUUGGGACGCCUACCACAGCAUGGCUUUUGCCAAGUGGUGCCAUGUCCACACCCGGGAUCUGAACUGGUGAACCCCGGGCCACCGAAACAGAACAUGCGAACUUAACUGCUACGCCACCGGGCCGGCCCAUUGAAUACCUUUUGAGCAAUUUCACUUUUAGGAAUCCCCCAAAGGAAAUAACAAACCACAU